Musa acuminata AAA Group (dessert banana) is the source of this 938-nucleotide long non-coding RNA. RefSeq lists it as uncharacterized. The transcript has 4 exons. The record is from RefSeq and is a predicted model, not a curated record. NCBI's taxonomy places the organism in Eukaryota, Viridiplantae, Streptophyta, Magnoliopsida, Zingiberales, Musaceae.
UCAUUUUGUCCAGUGAAGAGUGAUGUUGCUGCACAAGAGAGAUCCUUGAAGCAGGAGCCAUCAGGUAAGCCCCGAAAGUUGUGGGAGGCUGCCCUUACUGCUCUAUAUUUGGCACUGGGCACCUGCACUAGAGCAGGCCAUUCCUGGGGUCUUGGUACUGGGCAAGCAAUUGCCUGAAUGGAAGUUGAGAACUGCACUCCACAUACAUCGCGACAUGUCCCCGAUCCAUUUGCAUCGAUACAUUUGCAGCCACAAUGGUAUCUGGGCUUGUCCAGUUCAUUGUUCACAACUGAUUGGAUGGAGAUGAUUAACAAGCAGAGGAAUACCGGGUAGAUGGUCAAAAUGAUGUUCUGCUUGAUGUUUCUUCUCUGCACCAAAAAGGCCACAGAUAUCAGGGUUACUGAGAGGAGAAAAAAGAUGUGAACAUUCAUAACAAGCCACCGCAGCAGUGUAGAAGAGGAUGACAGAGCAAUGGAAGUACAUGGCAACACAAGACAACAAAAACAUGGAGAAACAAGGAGGCAGAGCAUCAUGGAAUGUGCACCUGGUAGAUCAGGUUCUUCCUCAACAACGCAUCAGCUUGUGUAAGGAAAGAUGCAGUGCCGUAGGAAACCAUGGAGAGAGAGCACACAAGCCCACGCAUACAAGUGUUUUCACUGCAGCAUACAUCACCAGGAAACAGAUGCGUCCGUGGAGUGCGUGUGCAAAAUUCCAGUCUCUUUCUUUCUGAUCGAUAUGAGUUUUACUUCCUUCCUUUCAUGUCCAUGGAGAUAACAAUGAGAUGUCAUACAUGCACCAAGAUUUCCAUUGCGUCCCUACGUUUGGAGUGUUCAAAGCCUUCUCCUGGUCAACACAAGUGCAAUUGCCAUUAGAAUCUGAUCUGAGCUUAGCUCUCGUAAUGGUGAUGAGUGCAGCACCUGAUUGGCAAGAGACGUGGC